RNAcentral lists this long non-coding RNA (295 nucleotides) under Elaeis guineensis (African oil palm). RNAcentral's name for it is "long non-coding RNA (EGUI_LNC042711)". The record is from RNAcentral. Lineage: Eukaryota; Viridiplantae; Streptophyta; Magnoliopsida; Arecales; Arecaceae.
AGCUCCCAUAAUUCGAAGGGGUCAAUCCCAUCUUGAUCUAUACACAGACUUCGUAAGUAUUUGACUGUACCUCAUAGCCUUCUGUCACUGCAUUAGAAAUCCAGAUAGUCCAUCACUAAAGCAUAGUGAGUUGUUUGCAAGUCACUAUGAUGAUUUCAGAUUUGAGAGACACUUACGUCCAUAUGCUUCAUAAGUAGCUCUUGACAGCAAAAUGCUUAAUAGAUGAGUCGCCUAUUCAGUGACGAUGUACUCCUACAUCUCAUCUGUAUGCUAUACCAGUGUUACCACACUCCUU